UACGAAGGGGGCUAGCGUUGCUCGGAAUUACUGGGCGUAAAGGGCGCGUAGGCGGACAGCUAAGUUGGGGGUGAAAGCCCGGGGCUCAACCUCGGAAUUGCCUUCAAAACUGGCUGUCUUGAGUACGGGAGAGGUGUGUGGAACUCCGAGUGUAGAGGUGAAAUUCGUAGAUAUUCGGAAGAACACCAGUGGCGAAGGCGACACACUGGCCCGUUACUGACGCUGAGGCGCGAAAGCGUGGGGAGCAAACAGG
Molecule: ribosomal RNA, 253 nt
Filed under: uncultured bacterium
Lineage: Bacteria
Description: partial 16S ribosomal RNA
Rfam family: Bacterial small subunit ribosomal RNA
Source: RNAcentral